Molecule: ribosomal RNA, 111 nt
Filed under: Bacillus subtilis
Lineage: Bacteria; Bacillati; Bacillota; Bacilli; Caryophanales; Bacillaceae
Also listed under: 1 other name
Source: RNAcentral
UGGUGGCGAUAGCGAAGAGGUCACACCCGUUCCCAUACCGAACACGGAAGUUAAGCUCUUCAGCGCCGAUGGUAGUCGGGGGUUUCCCCCUGUGAGAGUAGGACGCUGCCA